Molecule: ribosomal RNA, 423 nt
Filed under: uncultured bacterium
Lineage: Bacteria
Description: bacterial SSU rRNA
Rfam family: Bacterial small subunit ribosomal RNA
Source: RNAcentral
GGGAAUUUUGGACAAUGGGCGAAAGCCUGAUCCAGCAAUGCCGCGUGAGUGAAGAAGGCCUUCGGGUUGUAAAGCUCUUUUGUCAGGGAAGAAACGGUGAGGGCUAAUAUCCCUUGCUAAUGACGGUACCUGAAGAAUAAGCACCGGCUAACUACGUGCCAGCAGCCGCGGUAAUACGUAGGGUGCAAGCGUUAAUCGGAAUUACUGGGCGUAAAGCGUGCGCAGGCGGUUUUGUAAGUCUGUCGUGAAAUCCCCGGGCUCAACCUGGGAAUUGCGAUGGAGACUGCAAGGCUAGAAUCUGGCAGAGGGGGGUAGAAUUCCACGUGUAGCAGUGAAAUGCGUAGAGAUGUGGAGGAACACCGAUGGCGAAGGCAGCCCCCUGGGUCAAGAUUGACGCUCAUGCACGAAAGCGUGGGGAGCAAA